This is an RNA transcript of Carassius auratus (goldfish), 1810 nucleotides long. It is a transcript of the gene named BEN domain-containing protein 6-like, with no coding region annotated. Lineage: Eukaryota; Metazoa; Chordata; Actinopteri; Cypriniformes; Cyprinidae. The transcript has 8 exons. The record is from RefSeq and is a predicted model, not a curated record.
UGCGAUUGCGUACUCGCGUGAUGUCGCGUGCGUCAGCUCAGAAGUAAACGGACGGUUACAGUACAGUUUAAAUUGUGGUUCCAGUUCCAGCUUGCUUAAGCUUAGCCUUUAUUCAGAUUAAUUUGUGGGAAAAUGGAUGUGCCGAAUUUCCACUGCCUUUUUUCAUUUUUUGAAGAGGACUCGUUUGCUGUAGGGGACCUCAAGUGGGUAAACCUGAGUGGUUGUGGAGUGUCUAGAGACAAAUUGAACCCAAAACAUUGGAAAAAAGAUACCGUGAUAACGGUGAGAUGGCCUGACAAAAAGGGCCAGUAUCAGCUCUACCCUGCGAAAAUUCUUAAAAUGUCAGCUGAUAAGCACAGUCUGAUCAAAUUAAGAGAUCAGCUUAUAAAGGGCUAUGAAAGCGAAGAGGACUGUGGUCGUGGAAAAAGGAAGAGAAAAGCUCUUUGCAUCUCUUCUGAUGAUGAAGAGCCUGCGGAGAAGGACAUAAUUAAGAAAAAGCCUGAAAAGAGGCCUAGUCUCUUAUCAAAACUGCUGGAAAAGCGCAAGGAGCAGUUAAUUGGCAGUACAGCUGUACAGGAAUGCACAAAUUGCUGUGCCUUGAAAGAAAAAAUAAAGCAGCUGGAAGAAGACAACAGAAGAGUAGUUCUUCACUUGGACACCAUAAAUGAGUUGAAGAGCAUGGUGUGUGCGCUGAAAGGGGACUUAGAAGAAAGAAGUGCCCCUUCAAAGCAUCAAAAACCAGCCAUAUUUGCACAUCCACACUCAUCGCAAGACAACCAGGUGGAACCCCUUGAGGAUGAUGUGACCAUUGCUGAUGGCGUUACAGUUAACAAAAUACAGCUUAUGCGAUGCAACCAUCAGAGACCUUCAAAACUUGUGUGUGAUCUGCUUGGGGUGAUGUUCACAAUGGAGGAGCUGUCAACACACUCCUUAACUGGAUUAAAGGGAGGUGCAUCAGAGUGUGAAACCUUCCUUGAAUAAGAAGCAUGUCAAUGCCAUUUUUGAGUACACUUUAAAGAAGUUUCCUUCUUCAAAUAUUAACGAGCUAAGAGUGGCAGCAAGAAAUAAAUUAAACAAUGCAAGCAAGCUGUUCAAGAAAGGAUCUCACCAAAUUCUGGAUGAGGAGUAAAGGAAGGAUGUUGGAUACAAUUUCUGACUUUUCUAUAAAUCUAUUUUAAAAUACAUUGUUUUAUUAGUUAUCUCUUUAGUGCAUUAAAUGUUAUUACUUUGGACCCCAGUAAAAGAAAUUUGUUAAAUGUGUUCAAUCAGAUGGGAAAAGGUAAUAAUAAUACAACUGCCAAAUCUUUUACUGUAUGUCCUUAUAGGUUUAUUAGUCAAUUUGGGUUCAUUUUCUGCCUUUUGAUUUUAUUGCUUUGUAUCUGACAAAUUAUAUGAAUCAGAAAUCAUUAAAUAACGUGACAAGACUAAAAUACAGUAAGAAUACACUUCCAAAUAAAAAAAUAAAACAAAAAUUUUCUGGACCAAAAUUAAAAAAAAGUGUCAGUUAAGUUUUCAAUCACAUUUUCAUCUUCAAACUGUCUUUUCAACUUGUGGCUGCUUGUUCAAAUAUAAAUUCUAACUAUUGCCUUAAAAUAACAUUAAUGAAUAUAUAUGGUACAUAAUGAAUUGUUUUGUUUUUUAAAACCUUUUUUCCAGCCAACUAUACCCCCAUGAAAAAAAAAAAGGACCUGAAGAUGUGUUCUAGUUCAAAUGCAUUUGUGAUAAGUAAAUUUGUACAAAAAAAUAAAUAAAUACUUUUGUCAAACUAGUUUUAGUUUUACUUCCCAAAUAAAAUAUGGAUGAACAUCUA